This 484-nucleotide ribosomal RNA is filed under the name uncultured bacterium. RNAcentral's name for it is "partial 16S ribosomal RNA". It matches the Rfam family "Bacterial small subunit ribosomal RNA", at positions 30 to 507 of the family's 1533-position model. The record is from RNAcentral.
AUUGAACGCUGGCGGCAGGCCUAACACAUGCAAGUCGAGCGGAUGAAGGGAGCUUGCUCCUGGAUUCAGCGGCGGACGGGUGAGUAAUGCCUAGGAAUCUGCCUGGUAGUGGGGGAUAACGUCCGGAAACGGGCGCUAAUACCGCAUACGUCCUGAGGGAGGAAGUGGGGGAUCUUCGGACCUCACGCUAUCAGAUGAGCCUAGGUCGGAUUAGCUAGUUGGUGGGGUAAAGGCCUACCAAGGCGACGAUCCGUAACUGGUCUGAGAGGAUGAUCAGUCACACUGGAACUGAGACACGGUCCAGACCCCUACGGGAGGCAGCAGUGGGGAAUAUUGGACAAUGGGCGAAAGCCUGAUCCAGCCAUGCCGCGUGUGUGAAGAAGGUCUUCGGAUUGUAAAGCACUUUAAGUUGGGAGGAAGGGCAGUAAGUUAAUACCUUGCUGUUUUGACGUUACCAACAGAAUAAGCACCGGCUAACUUCGUG